AACCCAUGAUGAGGGCAUUCUAUACUCCUUGAAUCUCUCAAAAGCUUCACCAAACGACUCUCCUGAAAACUGAUGGAAAGAGAAGAUCUUGUUCCUCAGGGA
Molecule: non-coding RNA, 102 nt
Organism: Arabis alpina (gray rockcress)
Lineage: Eukaryota; Viridiplantae; Streptophyta; Magnoliopsida; Brassicales; Brassicaceae
Source: Rfam